This 113-nucleotide ribosomal RNA is filed under the name Sphaerochaeta sp. Lineage: Bacteria; Pseudomonadati; Spirochaetota; Spirochaetia; Spirochaetales; Sphaerochaetaceae. The record is from RNAcentral.
UCCGGUGGCCACAGCAGGGUGGACACACCCGUUCCCAUCCCGAACACGGAAGUUAAGCACCCUCGCGCCGAUGGUACUACGGGCAGCCGUGGGAGAGUAGGUAGCCGCCGGAU